CAUGUUGGGGACUUAUUUGGUGCCACAUUUUUGGGGCCACAUUGCUGGGGACUUAUUUGGUGCCCCCCAAUUGUCGCCUCCCCUCUUGGUAUCACCUGUUGGUGACUUAUUUGCUGCCCCCCUGUUGGUGCCACCCUGCUGGUGACACAUUUGGUGCCCCCCUAUUCGUAUCACCCUGUUGGUGACACAUUUGGUGCCCCCUUAUUGGUGUCACAUUCUUGGUGACUUAUUUGAUGCCCCUCUGUUGGUGCCACAUUGCUGGGGACAUAUUUGGUGCCCCUCUUUUGGUAUCACCCUGUUGGUGACACAUUUGGUGCCCCCCACCCCAUUGGAGCCACAUUGUUGGUGACUUAUUUGGUGCCCCUCUGUUGGUGCCACAUUGCUGGGGACUUAUUUGGUGCCACCCUCCUGGUAUCACUGUGUUGGUGACUUAUUUGGUGCCACAUUUUUGGGGCCACAUUGCUGGGGACAUAUUUGGUGCCCCUCUUUUGGUAUCACCCCGUUGGUGACAUAUUUGCUGCCCCCCCCGCCCCCGUUGGUGCCUCAUUGCUGGGGACUUAUUUGGCGCCCCUCUGUUGGUGCCACAUUCCUGGUGACAUUCCUGGUGACAUUCCUGGUGACAUUCCUGGUGCCAUUCCUGGUGCCUGCCAUUUCCGGCGCCAUUUCCGGCGCCAUUUCCGGUGCCGUUCCUGGGUGUCGCUCCCAGCUGUGCCAUCAGAGCCCAAUGGGGCUGAAUGGGGGCCCCCUAUGGGACCGGGUUUUUUUUUUGGGGGGGGUGGGGGACCCCUUG
RNAcentral lists this long non-coding RNA (790 nucleotides) under Phasianus colchicus (ring-necked pheasant). RNAcentral's name for it is "lncRNA (ENSPCLG00000022366.1)". Lineage: Eukaryota; Metazoa; Chordata; Aves; Galliformes; Phasianidae. The record is from RNAcentral.